This 447-nucleotide transfer RNA is filed under the name Acer mandshuricum. RNAcentral describes it as "partial transfer RNA-Leu". The stretch from base 398 to 447 matches the Rfam family "tRNA", at positions 1 to 48 of the family's 71-position model. Lineage: Eukaryota; Viridiplantae; Streptophyta; Magnoliopsida; Sapindales; Sapindaceae. The record is from RNAcentral.
AAAAUCCGUCGACUUUAGAAAUCGUGAGGGUUCAAGUCCCUCUAUCCCCCCAAAAAGACCGAUUUGACUAUUUCUCCUACCCUCUCUUUUUUUUAGUGGUUCAAAAUUCGUUCUCUUUCUCAUUCAUUCUACCUUUUUACAAACGUAUCAGAGCAGAAUUUUUUUUUUCUUUUAUCACAAUCACAAGUGGUGUGGUAUAUAUGAUAUACGUACAAAUGAACAUCUUUGAACAAAGAAUCCCGAUUCACAAUUCAUAUCAUUGCUCAUACUGAAACUUAUAAAUUAUUCUAUUCAAGAAAUCGAAUUCCACGCUCAAGACUUUUAAUACUUUUUUUAUCUUUUUUAAUUGACAUAGACCCCAGUCAUCUAGUAAAAUGAGGAUGAUGCGCCGGUAAUGGUCGGGAUAGCUCAGCUGGUAGAGCAGAGGACUGAAAAUCCUCGUGUCAC